Notolabrus celidotus (New Zealand spotty) is the source of this 361-nucleotide long non-coding RNA. RefSeq lists it as uncharacterized. The record is from RefSeq and is a predicted model, not a curated record. NCBI's taxonomy places the organism in Eukaryota, Metazoa, Chordata, Actinopteri, Labriformes, Labridae. The transcript has 4 exons.
GGCUCCAGCCCCCUGUGACCCUAACGGGAUAAGCGCACAAGAUAAUGGAUGGAUGGAUGGAAGUGAAUCAUAUUAUCACAGCACAAACUCUUCACUAAUUAAGAAAUAAUAUGAUCCUCUAUCACCCUCUAGUGGCACUUGGAUAUGACUAUUUUCAAGCUAAGAAUGCAGUUUGGACAACGCCCCCUUGACUUAAGCAUAACAUGGUUCUUCUUUCACUCAGCUUUAGGGACACCAGGCAUGGAUCUCACAGGUCCCUGUACUGUUUAGACACACUCCGGUCUUUAUUCCUGAGGGAGGGAGACCAAAGACUGUUGGCUGGGUGCUGCUUCAAGAGACAAUUUCAAAUAAUAUGCAAUAU